CCAAAACCCACAGUGACCAUUAAACCUGCUCGACAUGUAUUCAGAGGAGAGACAGUCACUCUCAGAUGUGAAGGUGAAGGAGUCACUAGCUGGCGCUACAGAUGGUAUAAAGAAGGUUCAUUCAGGUUUGACACUAAACUACAGGAACACACAUUCAUUCCAUUUACUGAGUUUGACACAGGUAAAUACUCCUGUCAAGGAUCAGAGACAGAAGGAUCACGCUGGUCACAUGUGAGUGAUGAAGUUACACUGACAGUAUCAGAUCCCAGAGCAGUUUUAAGUGUUUCACCACAGACGUGGUUGACUGAAGGAGAUCCAGUGACUCUGAUCUGUCAGGUUCACAGCUUCUCUGCAGGCUGGACAUUCAGCUGGUUCACUUUAACUGUCUCAGCAA
This is a long non-coding RNA of Cyprinus carpio (common carp), 394 nucleotides long. RefSeq lists it as uncharacterized. Lineage: Eukaryota; Metazoa; Chordata; Actinopteri; Cypriniformes; Cyprinidae. The transcript has 2 exons. The record is from RefSeq and is a predicted model, not a curated record.